AGAGUUUGAUCAUGGCUCAGAGCGAACGCUGGCGGCAGGCUUAACACAUGCAAGUCGAGCGGGCGUAGCAAUACGUCAGCGGCAGACGGGUGAGUAACGCGUGGGAACGUACCUUUUGGUUCGGAACAACACAGGGAAACUUGUGCUAAUACCGGAUAAGCCCUUACGGGGAAAGAUUUAUCGCCGAAAGAUCGGCCCGCGUCUGAUUAGCUAGUUGGUGAGGUAAUGGCUCACCAAGGCGACGAUCAGUAGCUGGUCUGAGAGGAUGAUCAGCCACAUUGGGACUGAGACACGGCCCAAACUCCUACGGGAGGCAGCAGUGGGGAAUAUUGGACAAUGGGCGCAAGCCUGAUCCAGCCAUGCCGCGUGAGUGAUGAAGGCCCUAGGGUUGUAAAGCUCUUUUGUGCGGGAAGAUAAUGACGGUACCGCAAGAAUAAGCCCCGGCUAACUUCGUGCCAGCAGCCGCGGUAAUACGAAGGGGGCUAGCGUUGCUCGGAAUCACUGGGCGUAAAGGGUGCGUAGGCGGGUCUUUAAGUCAGGGGUGAAAUCCUGGAGCUCAACUCCAGAACUGCCUUUGAUACUGAGGAUCUUGAGUUCGGGAGAGGUGAGUGGAACUGCGAGUGUAGAGGUGAAAUUCGUAGAUAUUCGCAAGAACACCAGUGGCGAAGGCGGCUCACUGGCCCGAUACUGACGCUGAGGCACGAAAGCGUGGGGGAGCAAACAGGAUUAGAUACCCUGGUAGUCCACGCCGUAAACGAUGAAUGCCAGCCGUUAGUGGGUUUACUCACUAGUGGCGCAGCUAACGCUUUAAGCAUUCCGCCUGGGGAGUACGGUCGCAAGA
RNAcentral lists this ribosomal RNA (841 nucleotides) under uncultured Alphaproteobacteria bacterium. RNAcentral's name for it is "bacterial SSU rRNA". It matches the Rfam family "Bacterial small subunit ribosomal RNA", at positions 8 to 893 of the family's 1533-position model. Lineage: Bacteria; Pseudomonadati; Pseudomonadota; Alphaproteobacteria. The record is from RNAcentral.